UAAUACGUAGGGUGCGAGCGUUAAUCGGAAUUACUGGGCGUAAAGCGUGCGCAGGCGGUGCGUUAAGACCGAUGUGAAAUCCCCGAGCUUAACUUGGGAACUGCAUUGGUGACUGGCGCGCUAGAGUAUGGCAGAGGGGGGUGGAAUUCCACGUGUAGCAGUGAAAUGCGUAGAGAUGUGGAGGAACACCGAUGGCGAAGGCAGCCCCCUGGGCCAAUACUGACGCUCAUGCACGAAAGCGUGGGGAGCAAACAGGAUUAGAUACCCUGGUAGUCCACGCCCUAAACGAUGUCAACUAGUUGUUGGGGAUUCAUUUCCUUAGUAACGAAGCUAACGCGUGAAGUUGACCGCCUGGGGAGUACGGUCGCAAGAUUA
RNAcentral lists this ribosomal RNA (375 nucleotides) under uncultured bacterium. RNAcentral describes it as "bacterial SSU rRNA". It matches the Rfam family "Bacterial small subunit ribosomal RNA", at positions 521 to 896 of the family's 1533-position model. The record is from RNAcentral.